Long non-coding RNA from Mauremys reevesii (Reeves's turtle), 437 nucleotides. RefSeq lists it as uncharacterized. The transcript has 3 exons. NCBI's taxonomy places the organism in Eukaryota, Metazoa, Chordata, Testudines, Geoemydidae. The record is from RefSeq and is a predicted model, not a curated record.
GCCAGAGGGAGCAGGCUCUCUCUGACUGUAGAGGGAGAUGGUCCUGGCUGCAGGGAGCUGGACAUAAGCAAACAGCCAAGACAAGAUGCCUAAGACCUUGAAAGAUGCCCUGCAGGAGGUUCUGGAUGAGCUGGGGAAAGAGGAUUUCGAGCGAUUCAAGGCAAAACUAAACAACCUUCCGGAGGUGCCCCAGGGCUGUAACAGAAUCCCCAAGGGGAAGCUGGAGGAGGCAAACCGCCUCGCUGUGUGUGAUCUGAUCGUAAAUUACUACACCACGACGGGGGCUCUUCCGGUGGCCAUGGGCGUCCUCAAAGGAAUCAACCAGAACGAGCUGGCCAUAAAGCUUCAGACACUCGUGUAUAACUAGAGCUGAUGACCAUCGUGUGGCACUGAUGACAGAGUGAAAGGAUGUGCUGCUUCUCUUGUCAAGCUACGAG